AUGCACGCUGGCGGCGUGCCUCAUCCCUGCAAGUCGCGCGAACGGACGAGAAGCUUGCUUCUCUGAUGUUAGCGGCGGACGGGUGAGUAACACGUGGAUAACCUACCUAUAAGACUGGGAUAACUUCGGGAAACCGGAGCUAAUACCGGAUGAUAUUUUGAACCGCAUGGUUCAAAAGUGAAAGACGGUCUUGCUGUCACUUAUAGAUGGAUCCGCGCUGCAUUAGCUAGUUGGUAAGGUAACGGCUUACCAAGGCAACGAUGCAUAGCCGACCUGAGAGGGUGAUCGGCCACACUGGAACUGAGACACGGUCCAGACUCCUACGGGAGGCAGCAGUAGGGAAUCUUCCGCAAUGGGCGAAAGCCUGACGGAGCAACGCCGCGUGAGUGAUGAAGGUCUUCGGAUCGUAAAGCUCUGUUAUUAGGGAAGAACAUAUGUGUAAGUAACUGUGCACAUCUUGACGGUACCUAAUCAGAAAGCCACGGCUAACUACGUG
Molecule: ribosomal RNA, 496 nt
Filed under: uncultured bacterium
Lineage: Bacteria
Description: partial 16S ribosomal RNA
Rfam family: Bacterial small subunit ribosomal RNA
Source: RNAcentral